Molecule: ribosomal RNA, 313 nt
Filed under: Vibrio sp. enrichment culture clone 2
Lineage: Bacteria; Pseudomonadati; Pseudomonadota; Gammaproteobacteria; Vibrionales; Vibrionaceae
Description: bacterial SSU rRNA
Rfam family: Bacterial small subunit ribosomal RNA
Source: RNAcentral
UGAUUAGAUACCCUUGUAGUCCACGCCGUAAACGAUGUCUACUUGGAGGUUGUGGCCUUGAGCCGUGGCUUUCGGAGCUAACGCGUUAAGUAGACCGCCUGGGGAGUACGGUCGCAAGAUUAAAACUCAAAUGAAUUGACGGGGGCCCGCACAAGCGGUGGAGCAUGUGGUUUAAUUCGAUGCAACGCGAAGAACCUUACCUACUCUUGACAUCCAGAGAAGCCAGCGGAGACGCAGGUGUGCCUUCGGGARCUCUGAGACAGGUGCUGCAUGGCUGUCGUCAGCUCGUGUCGUGAGAUGUUGGGUUAAGUAA